UGAGAAGUCUCAGGGACUAAUUCUCUCCUGGAGACUGUCUUUUAUACUCACCAGCCAACUUGGAGGACUGCCAGCAGCUCCUCCAAACCCUCUUCACUUCUGCAGAGCAUGAGCAGAUGAGGAGGGAGGUGAUCAAAUCCAUUCCUGGCCCGGACAGGCAACCCACGAUUGACCCAGCCCGAGUAGAGUUUGUCUUCCCCGCCACGCGCCUGGACUGGGACCUGAACGAGUAACGAGGCUCUCAAUCGGUAUCGCCAGACACUGCUAGGAGGCAUCCAGGCUGCGGCCAAAAGGCCAACUAAUUUGUCUGAAUCUGACUUACCUUCCUCGUUAUGGUUUCUUUGGGUGAUUGUAAAAUAAGUUAGCAUGUUUUAAACAGACAGUCACUGAUGACAAAGUGACAAAGACAGAAGUUAUGCUUGACCACAGAGGAUCGUAAGCUUUACUCACGACAGAAAAAUCCACAGGGUCACAAUGCUCCAAGCAGAGCGGACCACCUGGAGUUCCUGGAACGUACAGUGAUUGUUCCCACGUCCUCAGAAUGCCCUUCCUCACCUUCUAUUGCUUGUGGAAUUCUCCUUACCCCUUAAGACUCAAUUCAAAUGUGGAAACAACCCAAGUGUCCAUUGAAAGGUGAAUGGAUAAACAAAAUGUGGUCUAUGCGUACAAUGGGACAUUAUUCAACUUAAAAAGGAAGGGAGUUCUGGCACCUGCUACAACGUGGAUGAACCUUGAGGACAUUCUGCUAAGUGAAAUAAGCCAGACACCG
Long non-coding RNA from Lemur catta (Ring-tailed lemur), 769 nucleotides. RefSeq lists it as uncharacterized. NCBI's taxonomy places the organism in Eukaryota, Metazoa, Chordata, Mammalia, Primates, Lemuridae. The transcript is spliced from 3 exons. The record is from RefSeq and is a predicted model, not a curated record.